AAUAGAUACCCUGGUAGUCCACGCCGUAAACGAUGAGUGCUAAGUGUUAGGGGGGGUUCCACCCCUUAGUGCUGCAGCUAACGCAUUAAGCACUCCGCCUGGGGAGUACGGUCGCAAGACUGAAACUCAAAGGAAUUGACGGGGGCCCGCACAAGCGGUGGAGCAUGUGGUCUAAUUCGAAGCAACGCGAAGAACCUUACCAGGUCUUGACAUCCCGCUGACCGCUAUGGAGACAUAGCCUUCCCUUCGGGGACAGCGGUGACAGGUGGUGCAUGGUUGUCGUCAGCUCGUGUCGUGAGAUGUUGGGUUAAGUCCCGCAACGAGCGCAACCCUUGUCCUUAGUUGCCAUCAUUCAGUUGGGCACUCUAAGGAGACUGCCGUACAAAUACGGAGGAAGGUGGGGAUGACGUCAAAUCAUCAUGCCCCUUAUGACCCGGGCUACACACGUGCUACAAUGGACGGUACAAACGGUCGCGAAGUCGCGAGACGGAGCCAAUCCGAAAAAACCGUUCUCAGUUCGGAUUGCAGG
RNAcentral lists this ribosomal RNA (529 nucleotides) under uncultured bacterium. RNAcentral's name for it is "bacterial SSU rRNA". It matches the Rfam family "Bacterial small subunit ribosomal RNA", at positions 777 to 1304 of the family's 1533-position model. The record is from RNAcentral.